Long non-coding RNA from Coregonus clupeaformis (lake whitefish), 106 nucleotides. RefSeq lists it as uncharacterized. Lineage: Eukaryota; Metazoa; Chordata; Actinopteri; Salmoniformes; Salmonidae. The record is from RefSeq and is a predicted model, not a curated record. The transcript has 3 exons.
CUCAGACAGAGGUGUGUAGCUGCUGGUAAAGACUCAGACAGAGGUGUGUAGCUGCUGGUAAAGACUCAGACAGAGGUGUGUAACCUACUGUAGCUGCUGGUAAAGA